This 253-nucleotide ribosomal RNA is filed under the name uncultured bacterium. RNAcentral describes it as "partial 16S ribosomal RNA". It matches the Rfam family "Bacterial small subunit ribosomal RNA", at positions 524 to 776 of the family's 1533-position model. The record is from RNAcentral.
UACAGAGGGGGCAAGCGUUGUUCGGAAUUACUGGGCGUAAAGGGCGCGUAGGCGGCCUUCUAAGUCGAACGUGAAAUCCCCGGGCUCAACCCGGGAACUGCGUCCGAUACUGGAGGGCUUGAAUCCGGGAGAGGGAUGUGGAAUUCCAGGUGUAGCGGUGAAAUGCGUAGAUAUCUGGAGGAACACCGGUGGCGAAGGCGACAUCCUGGACCGGUAUUGACGCUGAGGCGCGAAAGCGUGGGGAGCAAACAGG